Molecule: long non-coding RNA, 8815 nt
Organism: Passer domesticus (house sparrow)
Lineage: Eukaryota; Metazoa; Chordata; Aves; Passeriformes; Passeridae
Exons: 2
Source: RefSeq, a predicted model, not a curated record
CUUGGCGGUGGCAACACGCUUCCUCUUCCCAGUGUGGGAGAUGUAGGAGCCUUUCUGCGAGCGAUUCGGCACAGGCUGACCCGGGUGACUUCAGCCACCCGCCCGUGGGAUCCAUCCCGGCGUGGCACAGGAGAGCACAGCAAAACGCCUUUAUGUGGCUUUGCUGGCACAUAAACCUGCACAUGGGAUCAUUUACUGCUUGGCGGAGAUGAACUGGCUGGCGGGGCUCCCCCAACUCCAUGCUCUAAUCUUACCUACUCAAACCUAACUUUGCCAAGCAAGGGUUAUUUCAGUAAGUGAUCAUGCCAAGCAUGUUUCUGUAAGGUGGAUGUGGUGUUGCCUUGUACAGUACAAAUCAGAUGGUUAAUUAGGAGAAUAUUAAUAUUAUCAUUAUUAGAAUUCUAUUUACACUAUUCUUCUAAUCUAAUAUCUUGUUUACAGUGGGAUUUUGAACAGUUCCAGCCCUCAACAAAAGCGAUUAGUAGAGGCACACCAAGGCAAACCACGGGUUUAAACCAUAUUCAGUGUCAACAUCUUUCAUGGCAGGACUGAUGCAGACAGGAUCUGCUGGCAGCUGUGCCAUGGUUUCUAAGUCAUCUCCUAAGCUAAAUGUGUCACCUCUGCCAGGUAACCACCUCCAGCACAAGGAAGUGUGAGUGUCACAGCUUGGCUGCAUGUCAGGCUCACUCUGACUGUUCAUGGCUCUCAGUCCCCUUUCCCAACUGUUCCCUGGUGCCAGCAGUGAGCAAAGGAUUAGGUGGUAACAGUUUCGUAAACUGCAGUGGCAAGACUUGCCCCUCAGUUUCUGUAGUUCUAGUAAAGAAUAAACUCUUCUGAUACAAAUUUCAGAUUUUGUUCUCCAACAAGGGCUUGAUUGCUGCUAGGACAGGUGAGGCUGGGCCAGAAGACUUCUGCAGACAGCUGCUCAGUUUUCCUGAAAAAGGAGGGCAGAGCUUGAUGCUGGGAAGGAGAACUCCUGAAAUGCAGAGCCGAGCUAGUUCCCUGAGAAAUACUCCCAUUAAUCUCAGUGAGGUAUCACUGUUAAUAUGUUGGUAUAAUCUGUCAUCCGGUUUAGCAGUGUCCCUGGUAAUUAAGUUUCAUAUUGCCUAUGUUAUCUGUUAACCCAAAAGGAGCAAAGUUUGAGGGCGCUGCUGAAGAGCCCAGACCUGCACACAGCUGCAUUUCAACAGCAGAAGUGCCAGCAGUAUCCCAAUAUCCUGACUUUAUAUUGAGGGUGUAGAAACGUUCUGGAACCUGUGAUGUGUACACCAUGACUGGAAGGCUGGCUGCUUUGUGGUUCUGGCAAAAAACUGGGCUGACCCCUGUAAAAUGAGUGCACUGACCCCUUCAAAGGUGCACACAGAGGUGUUGCAUCUUGUCUCCAUCUCCUCUCAUUCCCUCUGCUCCUCUUUGACUCUUUCUUCUGCCUUCUCCCAAGCCACUGUCAUUUUCAUUUCCUUUCCUGCUGCCUUGUACAUUUGAUCUAGAUUCUACCCACAAAUAUAUCAGAGUUUUUCUCCUCACAGUUUUCAAAGCCUGUUUUUCCACCUUUGUUCUGUGGAUACAGAUCUCAAACCAGUGUAACUUCCUGUUGCUGGAGCAUCAAAGAUAUACAAAUUCAAGAUACAGUAAAAAAAUAAAACAAACAACUGUUCAGACUUGUUUACUUUGAAUGAAAAUAAGAACAUUCAUAUCAUGAAGCUUGACUGAGUGGAACCAGGUUAAGAAUGCCCCAACCAUCAUGACAGUGCUGAUGAAACUGGAAGAUUUUUUUACUGGAAGUCAGUGUCUAUUAAGGAGAGCGCUAAAUUACUCAGCACAGGUAUUGGUAGAGCAGUCCUCACCAAUAACAUAUUUUUAGUACCAGUGACUCUUGUUGAACUCAUCUCUGUAAUUGUUUUUGAUGAUAGAAUGACUCAGAGUGCCCUAAAAACAUGGUAAUAAAAGAAACCCCUUAUUAUGGACCAAGGAACCAUUAAGUCUAAAUCCUAAAAAUUGGCAUUCAGCAUACAAGAUUAAGGAAGCAAAAACCUUGCUAGUUUGGUUACUCUUAUUUAUAAAGUAAGAAAAAACAGAACCUUCAAAUACCUUAAGUAGUUUUGAUUAAAAACAUUCUUAAGACUAGAAAUAUGUCAUUGUGCACUCAGCCAGAAAUGCAUUUUAAUAAAUGAGUCAGGGUUAGAAGAAGAAUGAGAGAACUUUUCUUACUGAAUGCAUCCCUGUGGUGGGGCCCAGUCAUGUAGUGUGCUUGGAAGGAGCAACAUACUAAACAUGGACAGCGAGGGGCUGAUUAAUAAGACAUUUAACCUAUUAUUUUUUCAUGGGACAAAGAGACUUCAGUUCUGUAAGGUAUUUGUAAAAUGGGUUUCCAAAAUGAACCAGGCAAUCCCAGUCUGAUACCCAGUAGACACCCAUAGGUGUUUGCAUAGCAAAUCUGUUACUAAUUACAAUUCUUGACACUCAGGAGUACAUGAGCUGUGUGGUUUGCACUUAUUAUUUUUAGGUCAAUUUGUACCCAUAUACAAUCUCCUGCCUGCCCUUCACAAGCACUUUCUACUUGUCUAGAGGUGGAGGAGUUUAAACUGGACUACUGAUGAACUGUCACAUAAAGACAUACUGAAUUCUGAGACAUUGAAUAUCUGUACAGGAUUAUGCAAAGAGGGACACACAAUUAGGGUCUGUAGUUUUCUCUGCAUUGCAAAAUUGUCCUGGGUUGUACAAAUCCAUCAAAUGAAUAGGCAGGCUCUGAAAGCUUCCUUUUCCCCACCCAAGAUGAAAAAUGUAAUUGCCACUGGGAUGCCAGAGGUGAGUGAGAUUCUGUCAGGAGGUUAUAUUGAUAAAAGUAAACAUCCUGCACAAAAGCUGAGUUUCUUUUGGCCGCUUGGCACAGAUGAGUUCUUAUUACAAGCCUGCACAAUAACCCUGAUCUGUUAAACAGAUAACAGAGAAGCAGUUCCUCAGUUGCCAAAAUUAUUUAUUUUGUGACAAGACACAGCUAAUGCUCCCAGCUACUCACUUUUUGGAGCUGGCAGUGGUGAUGGGCUGGCUGCAGAGGCAGGCGAGCAGGACACCAUGGCUCAGGGAGCCAAUUAAAUGCAGUGGGGAGGGAGCAGAGCAGCACAGCUUGGUGAGGCACAGGAAAUGGGUUUGGCAGGUGAAACUCCACUCCCAGUAUACACUGGAGAGUAAAUCAAGCAUUUGGGGUAAAUAAGGGGGAGAAAAGUACCCUUCUGCUUUCUUUUGAUUUUAUAACAAACAGAAUAUGAGGAUUUAGCCUUCCUGUCUUAGGGGUGUGCAUGGUAAUGGAGGAAGGUGGUGGUUUCAUUAAGGUUUGAUUUAGAAGCUUUACCACUAAAGCUCUUUCCUUUUCUUGGAUUUAGAGAACACAGGGUUUGGGCUUUGUUAGCAUGUUCAAGGACAUGUGGCAGCAGAACUACCCUGAGAAAAGUUUAUGCUUUGUGUCCUGCAGACAGCAUGGAUACAGCUUUUUUUUCCUUGCUGCAAACUGACCCAGAUUUCUGCUUUAUUUACAGUCUUUUUGAGCAUAGUGUGAAGGAAAGGCAUUGCUUUUGGAAAUGCAUGUCAAUGGUCUUGUGAAAUGAGCAUCUCUCCCUCCCUCAGCCUUCCCCCAAUCUAAUUAAUAAGGUCAUCCCACUGAAGGCAGGCUUAUAAAUAGCUUUCCAAGCACUAAUGGAAUUAGUUCUGGCCUGGACAACUUUUCCAGGGUGACACAGGUAUCGAAGAAGGGCUUGCUCCUUGGCAUAGACAGCCACUUACAGCAGGAAAUGUUGAAAUGUAAACAUCUACCUGAUGGCCCAGCUCUUGCUGCCAGCACUAAACCUGAAAUGGGAUUACAGCAUUGCUACUCACAUCGUGGAAAGACUUGCAAGUGAAACAAGGCAUUUUAGAGGGAUGGGCCUUGUAUUAGAUUACAUUAGUCUGGAUAAUGAAAUGUCAAAUUCUGAUGAAGGUUUCUCUUCUGUCACUAUUUCUGAGGAAAGUGUAUUUUUCAUGUCCCACAAACCCACAAGAUUUUGUGAGGAUAAUAAACAGUUACCAUAGGGAAUAAAAUCGAAGUACUUCCAGUUGAUAAGAAUCUUUACUGUGACAGCAUUUAAUGGGAAAGGACUAGCACAGCUAUAAACUCUCAAAAGAGUGAUGAUUGAAAAUUGACUAUUUAAAUCAUCAGUGAAUGGAGCCGUUGAACCCCUUCAAAACCAAUGGCUGAAUUACUAACAUUUAAAAUCUGGCAUGAGACUGGAAUUUUAUAAUGAAAAUAAAACCUAAAUGCAUCAUAGAAAGUGUAAGCUCUGAUUGUUUAAAAAACUUGAACCAAAAUGUAAAGAGAAUGUAUCUGAUUCAAUAACUUCAAAUCAAUAAGCAUGAAGCUCCUGAAAACAGGAGACAAACAUGAAAUUAUAAUAUGAUUAUCUAUGUGACUAAUGAAGUUUAAUUACAGUAAAAUAAUGGAGAAACAUUAUUUCAGAGUCUGUUCUAUUUGUUCUAUCUUCACAGUCUGUUCUUCUAUUCAGCCUGUGUAUUGCAAUAGUCCUACCAUGUAUUGCAUCUCCAGUAAACAAAAGGAGAUUUCAAAGAUUUCAAAAUGCUUAUUGGGAAAACUGAUGAAGGUCAAAUUUUAUAUAAAAUCAUCUUCUCAAUCAAAUUCUAUGCUGUUGCAUGUUCUGAAUAUAACCUUCUCCUUAAAUGAAGAAGCUGACAUGAGGGCAGGAGGUGCUUCUUCACAUAAGUGAGAAAAGAUCACUUCUUUAGAGAAGGGGAGAAAAGCAGUACUUUUCAGUCUCUGAAAUGGCCUUGGACCAGCUGCACAAAUUCUGAGUCAUCAGAUGAAUCAAGUCUGUUAAUGACUGCAGAGAACUUUUACUUCAAAAAAUGCAGAAGCAUCCUGCUUUCAGAUAUUGAUUCUGUAGUGCUUCCUUUGGGAGGCUUUAGUCAUAAAGGUGCCAGAUUUCAAGUCUUUUUUAGAAAUAAAAAAUGUGAGAAAGGUUUGGCUUUUAGUAAUUGUACCAUAAAAAAGAUGGUGGCCCACAGCCCUUGGAACAUCUAUCAGUUUCUCUAGCAGAAAUCAGUAUGGAAUUUUGGCUGACAGCCAAAGAGCAAGUUAUUAAAGGUAAAAUUCACUCAUAAGGAGAAUUUUAUAUGAAAGGCCAAAUCAGGACAACCUGACUCAGGAGCUAAGCAGCUGCCAUUGCCUUCAGCUUCAGACUGGAGAACACCUGAAAAAUCACAGCUGAGUUUCUUAAACCAAAGGGACAAGAGUCAUGAGGAUCUGUGUUCUAGUCUGCCUUUAGAAAGUCUGCAAGAGAGAAUAAAUAAUUACUGUACUGUAUGGUAACAGUAUAUCCUCUCAGUGUCAUUAGAUCCUAAGAGAUGAGGUCUCUCUCCCCAUCCUCCAGUUGUCUCAUAAUUGUGGCCUGCAAAGAAAAGCCCCAGCUGUACCCAUCCUUGGGGAAAAAAGACCAUUUUUGCCCUCUCUCAAAUGUAGGAUUUUAGCACCCAGAAAUGGAGGCUUUCGAAGACCUUUUUAGCAUGUGUUACCCAUGCAGAACAAAAUUAUUUCUCUUUGGACCCAAUAUUUUAAUAUAUCUCCAAAUUCUUCCAUUUUCAGAAGUAAAUGAAAAAUGUUCACCCUUGUACCAAAGCCAAAAUAAAGCAGCUCUGGAUUUAAAUCCUGGUCCACAGUGGACCAUCUUUAACUGAUGUUUGUAACAUGGACAUGCAAAAUCCUUUCCCCUCCUUUCUUCUCCCUAUCACUGGGAUUUUGUUCUGUGAAUGUCUGCCAUCCACUGUUAAUGUGCCAAUCACUCUUAAUUCCUUAUCUUUGACAUCACAAUCAAUGAAGGGAAAUAAGCUGUUACUUAAUGGGGCUGACACAAAAUCCAUUUAAGCUAACGGAAAGACGCUCCUUGUUUCCUAUCAGCCCUAGGUCAGGCCAGAGUGAACAGAGUGGGUGGAAUUUAGCCUGUCAUUUGUCAUCUGAGAGGAAAUGAUUCCUACAUCCCGUUUGGACUGCUUAGAGAUUUUAAACAUAUUUAGCAAAAGAAAACAGAUUGAUUUCUUGUCAGUUGUUGAAUGGUUGAAAUUUUACUCUGGUUGGAUAGUCUCUCAGUUUCAAAUGCUACUUAGUUUUAAUAUUAAAAAAAAAAAACAAAACCAAAUUUAGGAGAGAAAGAUCAAGGUGAGUGUAAGUCAGUGAAACUGAAGAGGCACUGACUAUCCUGUGCAGGUCAUGAAGCAUCAUCUGCACAGGAGCUCAGCCUCGCAGGCAGGGGCUGCACAGGGCCUGUGAACUCAGCCUGCCCUUCCUGCCAGCUGACAGCCUCUCAGUGUUACUUAUUUUAAAUGUAUUUAUCCUAAGUACACUUGGAGAGGGAGAAAACAUCUGUACUCCAACACAUAGAGUUGUCUCAGGUCUUCUAGGUUUUGUAAACAGACUUAAUAAAAUAUGAAUCCAUUUUUCUCUAUUGCUUGCAAAUAUUUACAAAUAUUUUUCAGAAGCAAAAUGAACAUGUUCUUUAAUAUAGCCCAACAAACAUCAGACACACUGUCCCUACUAUAUCUCCCAGUUUGAAUAAUGCUUGUUAGCCUUGGGAAGAGGGAGCAGAGUGCCUGGCAGGGACAAGAGGAUCUGAGUGAUUGUCUAACUUGCAAUUCCCCUGAUAAGUUUAGAGACUAUUUCUGCAGUGUUUCUGCAGAAAUAAUAUCUGUUAUUUAAGGACAAAAGUCAAAAUGUUCUGUUUCUUGGUUAUGGUGUGUUACAAAGAGUAAAGGGAGUUCUGUUUCACCACGUCCCUUCUGAACAGCAGGAAAUUCUUGGGAUAUAUCAUUUAGUUGCUGGUGGUCAGGCCAAGUUGCUGAGAGGUCAGAGGACUUGCAAGAAACAGAGACAUCAAGAAGUUUGAUUUCAGUGCAAAUUUGUCUACUCUGCUCCAAACAGUGAUUGCAAAACAAGUGUUACUGCUGCUGGCAAGCUUUGUGAGGCCUCACAUCCAUCAUCCACUUAGUUCUGUCUGUCCUUGAGUCAGAGUUAUAAAUUGUGUUAUCUUCGAUGGCAGGGAUGAGUUUUCAGACAGACUCUGACCUGACUUCUCUUCCUGCUGUGGUGGAUGAAAGUCUACAGCAUUCCAGUGAUAUUGGGAAUGCUCUGAGGAUUGGACUCACACAAAUGAAACUCUGACCCCUCACAUGAUUGCUGGAAGGACUAAAGGCGAAAAAUCCCCUUAUACUUGGGAAAUUUUUAGGAGCCAUUUGGAAAGCGAUUGGGUAAAAACAAUCCAGAGGGGGCACAGGAGUCCCUCAACUUGUUUUUAAAAUCUGUCAGACAGCAAAUUCCUGUCCUCCAGAUUCCUGGGUCUUGAGGCUCAGUAGCAAUAUUUAUAAGGAGAGGCUGGUUGAAGAAAAUCAAUAAAUAAACAGACAAUGCCCCGAUGAAGAGCUGAAAUAGAGAUUUUUGUGGGCACAGCUCAUGUCUUUCCAGAAACUGUUCCUUCCCCGGGGCUGUCACUUCUGAGCUGUUCCUGGCUGUCCACAGAGGGGAGUGGGGAUCCUCACUAGGGCCUAACCUUGUUCUGCUGCACUGAGCAUUACAACCUCUUAUCUGUUGCUUGUGGGUGCUAAAUUGCAAGGCCACAUUUUUGGGAACAGAAUGCAGAGCCUUGGAGGAAGGCCAUGCUUUCAAACUCUGUGUCCUCAGCAGCUUCCCCGGCACUGGGGCCGCGGUGCUGGCCGGGGAUCAAAGCCCAGGAAUUCUGUGCUGUGCUCAGGCUGUUCCUCCUGGCUGAGGUCACAGCACUCUCCUCCUUUCUGUAUGGUUUCUGCAGGAUCAGUUUUAUAAAUGACAGGGUAAGAUACAGCCCUGGUGUGAGAGUGGGGCUGGGGAGGGCACAGGGCUGCUUGUGUCCCUGACAAGCCACCGUGGUGGCAUCUGCCCUCGGCUGACCCCGCUGGCAGCUGUGCCCUGUCCUGCUCCUACCAACUGCCCAAGGCUCAUUCAAACAGCCUCACAUCUCAUAGAAAUAGGAAUGGUGGCUUCUGAACUGCCUCCAAUUCCUUGGAACUUUACAGGACUCUUGUAAUAGCAUUUUACUUAAAUUCUAGAAAAAAACCCCAAAGCUAUUAGCAACCUGGCCCUCAGAAAAACCUCUGUGGAGGUUUAGUCAAAAUGACAAAAUCUCUAUCCAAAAUUUAUAAAGGCAUUUUCAGUUUUUCAGUGGAAGUCCAGAUUCCCAUAUUUUGGCAGUAGACCUGUACUGGGUACAUUUGCUCUAACAUUAACCAUUUAAAAGCUCCUCUGUGCCCUUAGAGACAAAAAGGAGAAUGCUUCCUUUGAGGAAAGAUGCCCCUUAGCAGAGGAGAGGAGAUACUCUGGAGGAAUUAAUCUCUUCCCAUUGUUCUUGAGUUUUGAGGGGGGGCAAAGGCUCAAUUUUUGGAUGGUGACAUUAAUCCCACACAAACUGAGCCAUAGGCUGUGCCCCCGCUUGCAACUCCUGCAACAUGGAAGGUUAAAAUAAAUGCUUGUUAAACUCCAGGCUGUAUAGUGCAUGACACAUUAGAGCUGCUUUUAGUCAUCAAUAUAUUGCUAUUUAAAGAUGACUGAGACUUUUAAGUCUGAUGAUUAUUCACAUUGAAAGUGUUUCUUUUUCAUUUGAGAUUUUAUGCUGUCAUGCAGACAUCUCCAUAAUUAAAUGUGUGCUUGACUCUUUCUGUCUUCAGUUAAGUAGACAUUAAUGGGAACCUACCAAAAACAACUGCCAGAAAUCUUCCUGCACUUUAAUUUAAAAAUAUUAAUAUCAAAUUA